AGGACGAACGCUGGCGGCGUGCCUAAUGCAUGCAAGUCGCACGCAGAGAGCUUGCUUUCUGAGUGGGCGCGACGGACGUGAGGAUCACGUGGGAACAUGCCUCCUUGUGGGGGACAACACCGCGAAAGCGGUGCUAAUCCCGCAUACGCUCGGGUAACCGAGGAAAGCGGCAACGCGCAGGGAGAGUGGCCCGCGGCCCAUCAGGUCGUUGGUGGGGUAAUGGCCCACCAAGCCGGUGACGGGUAGCUGGUCUGUGAGGACAGACAGCCAGACUGGGACUGAGACACGGCCCAGACUCCACGGGAGCAGCAGCAAGGAUUUCGCAAUGGGCGCAAGGCCUAGGAACGAGCAACGCCGCGUGGAGAUGACGGCCGUUCGGGUUGUAAACGUCCGUUUUUCGGGACGUAUAAGUCGGAACGGUAACCCCGGAAGUAACGGCUCGGACUAACGUC
This 452-nucleotide ribosomal RNA is filed under the name uncultured soil bacterium. Its description in RNAcentral is "bacterial SSU rRNA". It matches the Rfam family "Bacterial small subunit ribosomal RNA", at positions 26 to 504 of the family's 1533-position model. The record is from RNAcentral.